UACGUAGGGUCCGAGCGUUGUCCGGAAUUACUGGGCGUAAAGCGUGCGCAGGCGGUUUUGUAAGCCAGAUGUGAAAUCCCCGGGCUUAACCUGGGAACUGCAUUUGGGACUGCAAGGCUUGAGUGCGGCAGAGGAGACUGGAAUUCCUGGUGUAGCAGUGAAAUGCGUAGAUAUCAGGAGGAAUACCGAUGGCGAAGGCAGUGUCCUGGGGAGUACCUGACGCUCAGGUGCGAAAGCCAGGGGAGCGAACGGG
This 253-nucleotide ribosomal RNA is filed under the name uncultured bacterium. RNAcentral describes it as "partial 16S ribosomal RNA". It matches the Rfam family "Bacterial small subunit ribosomal RNA", at positions 524 to 776 of the family's 1533-position model. The record is from RNAcentral.